Molecule: unclassified non-coding RNA, 3281 nt
Filed under: Hevea brasiliensis (rubber tree)
Lineage: Eukaryota; Viridiplantae; Streptophyta; Magnoliopsida; Malpighiales; Euphorbiaceae
Source: RNAcentral
UCGUUCGCUUGUAGCCUGUUGAAACGACUGGUCGUUAAGCUCAUAGCUUGUUGAAACGACUGGUCGUUCAGAAACAAAUUGUCGUUAUCUGUGUGUUAAACCCUAGAUCACGCAGAUGCUGGCAGAUCACACCGCAACAUCCAUGGACUGUGAGGGGAAGAUAAGCAUAUACAGAGCAGUGAGAACCAUAAAACGAAGAGACAACACUCUCUACAACGCUUUGAGAUCCAUAUACGAAGAUUCGAUUUUUGUUGGCGAGAUCUCCCAGCUAUGGCCCGACCUUCCCCUUCUCGCCAACCUCCGCUGCGGCCUCUGGUACUCUUCCAAAUUCUACGCUACUUGCUACUUCAAAUCCACCGAUGGCCACACCAAUAAUUGGUCAUUUAACACCUCUCGCCUCAACCUUCAUGUUGCCCAGCUUGCUGGGCAGAAACGAGGGUGUAUCAUUGUUGACUCUACUCGGAAAGGGAAACGGUUUCCAGAUAGCAUGUCAAAAACAAUACCCAUUUGGACUUGUGUUUUGAAUCGCUCCAUUUUUAACCAUAUCAGCAAAAUGCGAGAUUGUGGGACGAUAAUGCAGGAGGAGGCUGAUUCCUCUAAGCAUGCUGAAUAUACAAGAAUGCUUUCUCAUAAUUGGGAUUGUUCUCUGCAUCUUCCCCUUUGGGUCCCCGAAACAGAGAAAGCAGCUAUUGAGGAACGUAUAGACGGGUGGAGUAAACAGUUGGAAGACAGUGGAGCUGAUAUUGCCUCAGUCGCAUCAUGCUUGAAAAAGCCUCUACGACCUCUUUGGAUAUCACAAAAGACUGUCAUCUGGUUGAAUGAAGUACCUGAUCAUGAUUCCUGGGAUUUCACUCCUAUUAUCCUUGUUUCAACCUCCUCUUCAAGCAGCAUUUAUCAACAUCGGACUACCUCUGAGUUUAGCUGGAGCUAUAUAGCAGGAGCUGGAGAUGAUGAAGAAAGUUGGGCAAGGGGGCUCUCACCCAGUCUUUUCUGGAAACAUGCAUUUGAUUUAAUAAGUUCAGGGCCUGAUCUGUGUAACCAGAAGGUGGCUGAUAUUGUUGAAAAGGACAGAGUAUAUCGUGCUCAAAGGGGACAAAAUGCUCCUCAGGUGACUUUGAAGCCUCUAGAAAGGUUAGACAACAUGGCUGAUUUUUCUCAAGUAGACUCCUCAUCAUCUUUGGAUCUAUUUAAUGGGAAUAUUACUCUAAUGUCUUGCAACAAAGAUCAUACGAUGUUUUGGCUAGGCUCGACUAAUCUUGCAUUGGGCACAACUCAACUUGGUAUGCUAAUUUAUUAGCUGAUUUUAUUAUCGUAUACUUGCAUAUAGUAAAUACUUAUUUUGAUGGUUUCCUCUUUGUUCAACAAUUAGGUUAAUAUGCUUUCUUUUAUUCUUUAAACUGGGAAAAUCUCGAAUGGUUAUAUAUAUGUUUUCUUUUCUUUUUCUUCUCUCUAUCUCUUUUUGAAUUUUAAAUUCCUUGUGUGUUGGUUAUUCUUUUUUAUUUCUCCUCACUAUCUAGUCAAAAUGGGCAGCAUUAUCUUUACAGUCUCCCUUCUGUUUGCUUACCUUCUGAUUGCUCCUGGCUUCCUCCCUCUCUGUCUCUUCAUUUUGCAGCUGCACACAUUUCUGAUGUUGAUUGCAUCUUGAACUGCGAUCAAGAAUCCUUCCACACCCAUAUACAAGAUAGUAAAACAUAUUUGCAGCUUCCGAUGUUGGUGCGUAUGAAAGAGAUAGAGGGAUGCCAAAUAUUAUCGUUUCAUCAAUGCAACAAUUUCUUGAAUUUUGUUUUUUCCUUUUUUUGCUGUUCAGAGCUCAAAACUGGAUCGUUUUUCCAUAUUAAGCAAUCUCCCUGCUGCAGUCAGCUUUGCAAAGGCAAAUCUUGGCAAAGGGAAUAGACUUCUAGUUUGUUGCCACAAUGGUGAGGACCUCUAAAUUCUGCAUUGCCUUUUGGAUUCACAUUGUUGGAUAGGCUUAGAUUUAUGGAGUUGAGUAAAUGAUGCUUCAAUAGACUUAAUCAUUCCAUGUUAAAUUGAGCAUUAUUUGAUUUUAUGUUGCAGUAUUUCAAAUGAGUACCAUUUCAUUUAGUAAAGGAUCACUUUCUGAUUUUUAGAUUUCACAUUGCAGCCUGGCAUGCACUUUUUCCUCUAGUUAUUGUUUUUGCUGUCUGCAAUAGAAAAUUGACUACUUUAUCAGUGUAUUUUAAUAUUAGUGCUUUUAAUUUCUGGAAAAUUGAAAUUCUUCUUUUGCAUGGGAUAAUUAGGCAUCUUUAGAUGACUGCUAAUGUAUUUUAUUAUUUUCUCUUUCCAGGGGAAGAUAUCAGCGUGUGUGUUUGUCUUGCAAUUUUGACUUCAUUAUUCAGUGAUGCAGGUGAGAUGCUUGUAUGUUCCAUAAAGGUGAAAUCAUUUCUGAUGCCUGAGAGUUGGAGGAAAAUCAAAUACCAGAAAAUUUUCUUUCACUUUUUCCUUUGCUUCUACUUUUGGUGUAAGAUCCAUACUGGCUUGUCCAGUUUAUAUUGUUUGAUGGAUUUUUCAAUUAUUUAUCUAAUCAUCUUUGAAAAAUCUUGCAGUUCAGUGUAGGAAACUUAAGACUGAGUUGUAGUUGAGACACUGCUGUCAAUUUCACUGAUUUUCUGUUUUCUUGAGUAUAUGUUAAACUUCUCAUCUUUUGAUUAGGAACCUUUGAUGAUGGAGAAUCCUACAGAAAUACACGAAUUACUAAGUGGGAGAUGAGGCGGAGACUUGUUUUCAUCUGUAAAUUUGCAGUGAGUGCUCGUCCAUCUAGAGGAAAUUUGAAACAGGUCUUUGCAUUUCUCACUGGACAAAGAUCGCCCUCUUCAUGUUCACAUUGUAGGAAUGCUAACCAGGAAGAAUGUUGCUAAAUGGAAACAAAAUGGGAAGUGUGGCAGUCUCUUGUUUUAACCAGUGAAUCUGCAGUAAAAGCUGAAUCAUCACUUCCCUUCUGGAGAAAGAUCAGACUCUUUACUUUCGCAUUGUAGGGAUGUAAAGGAAGAAUGUUGCUGAGUGGGAGGUGCAGUGGCAUCUUGUUUUAUCUGUAAAUUUACAGAAAGCUCAAUUAUCCAGAGGAAAUUUGAAACUGAUCUGACUUCCCUUUCAUGGCAACUAUUGAAAUGUUAUUAUUCAAGAUAAAGAGAGAAACAAAAGUUCACAUUCAGUUCUACCUCAAAAUUGCAAGCUUUAGCUGGCAAGAAAUUGUACUAGUUUCCUUAACCAUUUUGAGCCUUACAUCUACUAUGCACAUUUUGUGCUCUAUUUUCUCAAUACAA